Aedes albopictus (Asian tiger mosquito) is the source of this 4062-nucleotide long non-coding RNA. RefSeq lists it as uncharacterized. The record is from RefSeq and is a predicted model, not a curated record. Lineage: Eukaryota; Metazoa; Arthropoda; Insecta; Diptera; Culicidae. The transcript has 3 exons.
AAUGGGUAUGCAAAUCCCAAUCCUGCUGACAACCAUUGGAACGUGAUCCAUUUUCACGCUUUAUUUAUUGCCCAACUGUUGAUCGAAUGACCUCGUGCAGGUCAGGAUCCAAACUCUGGAAAUACUUCCCCUCCAGAGUACGUGACCAUCCACAUCGAAAUAUCCUUAAGGUAUAUCUCACUCUCACCUCGAUUCUCUUCUUAACUUCUCGCAUAUUCAUUUCCCGCGCUUACUUCCAGCAUAAUCAUCAGCAACCAUCAUGACUGUAAUCAGUGCUCAGACGGGGUGGAAAACAGCUGGUCCGUUCAUCGUUCUACACAGCAACAGAGCAGCAACGUGCAGUCAGUCAGUCAGUGGGGCGUUCUAGGUCGGACUCGCUUUCCCGGAGAGGCGUCCGCUCCGACGAGAGCGACGAUGAUGCAAUUCACAGACUGAUUCCAUCCCCCUGCUGCUACUGAGUGGUGGAACCCCACGUUUCAUCCGACGACGACGACGGAUCGCUCCCAGAACCGGGUCGGUCGGGGGGAUGUUCGAUGAUGAUGCUUCCCAGCCCCGACAGGAACCGUUUGGCAGUCAGUCAGCUUCAAGCUUUCGGUGGACGAUGUUGCGCGCCCUUCUCGGUGGGACCCCAAAGUGCCCAAGGUGCUACUUGCUACUGCUGCUGCUGGUGCUAGUACUACACACCUCCACAGUCAGUGGGGUGCCAGUCAGAGUCAGUGUGCCCGUUGGUAGUGCCGUCGCGGGGUAGGCCGUGUGUACGUGCGUUCCGCUCUUUGGCACCUAAUUUGAGGCCAGGAAAAUCGUGGAAAAGCGAAGAAGAAAAACGAGUUUAGGAAGGAUAUUGCUGUAUGGCGGCAGCCCACCACCUCAGUCGAGAAAAGGAUAACUGUUGCGCCAUCGAAAAACGUGGCGGAAGGAAUGUCCACGAAAUUCUUUUUGCACUGACUGUGGAACCGGAAUUUGGGUACCGGGCGAGCCGAGAGACGCACGAGUGGCGCGAUUUUUUGCCUCCAGUUCUAAUUCCGGUGGCGGAUGACGGCAACGGCGGCGGUGCGUGGCAAUUAGAGGGAAGAAUGUUGCCGAUUGCUCCCAAGCGUGUGACUUUUUCGCACUGUGCGGUUCAUUUGCUUCGAGGGGUGUUGAUUUGAAUGUAAUGAGUGUGGGUCGAGCCGUCGGUCAUCGAGCGGCGGGUGGUUGUCGAAUUCUGGUUGCGAUGGCGUGGGAAAAUCGCGAUUAGUUGCCGGCGGUCAACGGCGGACGAGCUGAGCUUCUGACGAGUGCUGCUGUCGAAGGCGUGUUAAUUGAUUGGUGAUUUGUGACACGGGAAGAUUGUUUUUGAUGUGCAAUAGUUUAGAUCGUUUGAGAAUAAGAUGUUUAAAUUCAAUGUUGAAAAUCGAUAUCAAUUUAUUGUGGAAGUAAGUGUAAGCCGUUGAUGUUAAAUGUUGAUGUAAGAGUUCUAUCACGCAAUCAUAAAUAUCUAAGUAUUAUAUAUUACCGGAAGCCGGUUUUGAUGGAAGAAAUUGUGUAACUGUGAAACAAACUUAAGAAACAUAUAGACAUCGUACCAACAGAAAAAUAUUGACACCACGCUUCAUCGGAACCCAUUUGUUCGCUCGAUUCGACUUUUUUUGUGAACACCAACGAUCAUUUAAAUCCCGCGGCAAAACUGCCAACCAGGAGUUAUCAAAGCAAUAUCACAAACAUCAGCUCCCCAGAAAAGCCGUUCUCACAUUCGGGAGUUCGGGAAAAGGGGGAGAAAAAGUUGUUUCAGCAGGAAGCUGAAAUCUGAAAUGCACCGACACCAAAUCAAUCGGGUCAGAAAAUUGCAAUUGUACAAUUCUUCACCGCACCAAAACUGCACAAAAACAGUGUGUUGCUCGAUUUCCGGCGGGAACAGGUCGAAUCCCAUUUGAAGGACACCGACGACGACGACGACGACGAUCGACCAACCUGUCCGAUGUGCAAGAAAAGUUUUAAUUGAAGAAGGAAAAUUUUAUCCUUCUUGGGCGCACACAGCAGCAGCAGUGCGCCCAACAGUAGUGUAUUCGGUGCUUCCGGUGAAGCUUUCUGUGAGUGGAGCAAAAAGAAGAAAAUCGUUUGAAAAAUGAAUUUCAAUGUCGACAACUUUGACGGACCAUCAGCAGUUGGACCGCAGUCCUUCGUCGGCAGCAUCAGGAAGAACUCAAAGUGAUAACGAUCAUCAUCAUCACCGGAGUGAGAAGUUGAUGCCAAAUAGGAGAAGUUUUUUUUCCUGGUUCGAAAGUUAGUUCGGUGGUCUCCCGAGUGGGGCUGGUGGGUCUCAAGACCCGGUUUUUUGUGCGUUUCUGAAGAUUUGCUCACGUUGUGAAACUGGCACUUUGUUUGGGUGCGAUUUUUCCGGUUCAGUGGUUGUCCGGUCGGUGAGUUUAGCGAAAAAAAAAGUUUUGUGCUUUUGUGCCGGGGAAAAUCCAAAGGACAACCAGAAGAAAACCAGAAGGCCCCUGAUUUGCAUCGGCUUUCGGUGAGAGUUUUCGUGUCGACUGCAGCAGCUGAAGCGGGGCAUCAUCAUCAAUUCAGAGUAACAGCUGGUUAGAGAAACUUGAAUUGGAUUGGAAAUUGGAGUUGUGUGGUGAUUAGUGAAAGUUUUUCCAGCGUUUUCCCGGUUGGCGCGCAGAAGCGGGCUCACAGAAUGGACAUGGAUAUCAUCGACAUCCGGACGUUGGGAUAUCUCUCCAGCACUAGCACGGUAAUAAAUCCAAAUGGUACAAGCAGGUUCAAUGGCCUCCUCAAAAUACAAAAGACUUUCGAAAUGGUAUGAUAUUCGAAAACUAAGUAAAAACGUCACUAACAACCCAAGUAAUCAAUAAACACUUGAAUGCAGCAUCCUAACUGCAAUAUGUGCGCGUACAAUUCAAUCAUAUAGUGCAACGCUGCUCUGCUCUGCUCUGCUCUGCUCUGCUCUGCUCUGCUCUGCUCUGCUCUGCUCUGCUAUGUUCCUCCCCCCUUUGCACCCUCCGCCUUUUGCUGGAAGCCAAAAAUACGUGACUUUUUUGAAUUUAAAAAAAUUGUAAAUGUUUUUGCUCAGAUUUCGUAGUUAUGCUUAUCAUCAAUAGUUUUCACUGAUCCUUAAUAUAUAUUAUAUAUAUGUAUAAGAAUAUAUUCUAUGUAUUACAACUGAUCUGUUGAAGUUAAGAUCCCCAAGCUAUUCUAAGACCACCAAAGUACUCCGAAGUUUGAGUCACAAAUCCAACAUUCUAAACCAAAUUUUAUACACGAUGAAUGAUCACAGUCUCAAAAAGCUUCAAAGCACCCCUAGAAAUUCAUGGUACAUGAAAUGGGUGAUCUAGGCCAUCCCAAACUUCUCUGGAAUUCAUUUUCUUAAGAUCUACAACAUCUACCAUCAUCUGUGUUUACUUUGUUCAAGAUAUUUAGUCACAUUGAUGUCCAUUAGACCUCGCAAUGCUACGAGCUACUUGAUAUUGUGGUAGUUGGACAUUCCGUGAACUACAAAUGGCCCCCAAUACCCUUUGAAGUUUGAUUUACAAUAUCUGCAUACUGUAUCAUGCUUAAAUUGUAAAAAAAAUAUUCGUGGAAUGUAGUCUAUACUGCUGAUGGAACCUCAGUGCACAACUAUAAUGCAUUUGGUACAUUCAUGGGAUAUUCUAGGACUUCCUAAAUAUUCUGGAAUUAGGACCUUCAAGGUCUACAGGCUCUACUCUUGUUUCUCUUCACUCUAUCGGCAUAAUUCUUUCACGAUUGUUUCUGUUGCACCUCAUAAUAUUACGAGUGCGUUGCUAUUUGGGAGUCCACCUGCAUACAAAUUGACCCUAGAAUGGGCCCAAUUUAUUUUGAAAUAUGGGUCGCAAUAUCUGUAAAUCUUAGGAUAUUUUUGUUAUAGCGAAUGCUCACGGUAUAUAACCUACGCUUCUCUUUGAGCCUCAGAGUGCAAUUCUGAUAACUAAGCCACAUUCACUUGGUGAUCUAGGUCAUCCAAAUCGUUCUGGAAUCAAGACCUUCAAGCUUCACAAUCUCUACGUUUGUAUCUUUUUAUUUUAUUGGUGUAGUUCCUCCAAAAUAUCCUUC